UACGUAGGGUGCAAGCGUUGUCCGGAAUUAUUGGGCGUAAAGAGCUCGUAGGCGGCUUGUCGCGUCGUCCGUGAAAACCUGCGGCUCAACUGCAGGCUGGCGGUCGAUACGGGCAGGCUGGAGUUCGGUAGGGGAGACUGGAAUUCCUGGUGUAGCGGUGAAAUGCGCAGAUAUCAGGAGGAACACCGGUGGCGAAGGCGGGUCUCUGGGCCG
Molecule: ribosomal RNA, 213 nt
Filed under: uncultured bacterium
Lineage: Bacteria
Description: partial 16S ribosomal RNA
Rfam family: Bacterial small subunit ribosomal RNA
Source: RNAcentral